UCCACGCCGUAAACGAUGAUAACUCGUUGUUGGCGAUACACAGUCAGCGACUAAGGGAAACCGAUAAGUUAUCCACCUGGGGAGUACGGUCGCAAGAUUGAAACUCAAAGGAAUUGACGGGGGCCCGCACAAGCGGUGGAGCAUGUGGUUUAAUUCGAUGAUACGCGAGGAACCUUACCCGGGCUCAAAUGCUGGACGACAGUCCCUGAAAGGGGAUCUCCUUCGGGCGUCCA
RNAcentral lists this ribosomal RNA (233 nucleotides) under uncultured bacterium. RNAcentral describes it as "partial 16S ribosomal RNA". It matches the Rfam family "Bacterial small subunit ribosomal RNA", at positions 794 to 1032 of the family's 1533-position model. The record is from RNAcentral.